CGGCACCUCAAGUGGUCAGGAUGAUUAUUGGGCCUAAAGCAUCCGUAGCCUGCUUUGUUAGUUUUCGGUUAAAUCCAUACGCUCAACGUAUGGGCUGCCGGGAAUACUGCAAAGCUAGGGAGUGGGAGAGGUAGACGGUACUCGGUAGGAAGGGGUAAAAUCCUUUGAUCUAUUGAUGACCACCUGUGGCGAAGGCGGUCUACCAGAACACGUCCGACGGUGAGGGAUGAAAGCUGGGGGAGCAAACCGGAUUAGAUACCCGAGUAGUCC
RNAcentral lists this ribosomal RNA (270 nucleotides) under uncultured archaeon. RNAcentral describes it as "partial 16S ribosomal RNA". It matches the Rfam family "Archaeal small subunit ribosomal RNA", at positions 477 to 747 of the family's 1478-position model. The record is from RNAcentral.